UUGUUGUUGUUGAGAGGCUAAAGAAUGGUGUUUAUUGCAGGAGAGAUCUGUUUACAAAAAUCGAAAUUAGCUUCACCUUGGGGAUAGAAGUGAAGUGCUGCAGUUGUUUUCACUAGUCCUUCUCC
This is a long non-coding RNA of Ipomoea nil (Japanese morning glory), 125 nucleotides long. RefSeq lists it as uncharacterized. The transcript is spliced from 3 exons. NCBI's taxonomy places the organism in Eukaryota, Viridiplantae, Streptophyta, Magnoliopsida, Solanales, Convolvulaceae. The record is from RefSeq and is a predicted model, not a curated record.